RNAcentral lists this ribosomal RNA (422 nucleotides) under uncultured bacterium. Its description in RNAcentral is "partial 16S ribosomal RNA". It matches the Rfam family "Bacterial small subunit ribosomal RNA", at positions 360 to 774 of the family's 1533-position model. The record is from RNAcentral.
AAUUUUGGACUAUGGGGGAAACCCUGAUCCAGCCAUCCCGCGUGUAUGAUGAAGGCCUUCGGGUUGUAAAGUAAUUUUGGCAGAGAAGAAAAGGUAUCUUCUAAUACGAGAUACUGCUGACGGUAUCUGCAGAAUAAGCACCGGCUAACUACGUGCCAGCAGCCGAGGUAAUACGUAGGGUGCAAGCGUUAAUCGGAAUUACUGGGCGUAAAGCGUGUGUAGGCGGGCCGGAAAGAAAGAUGUGAAAUCCCAGGGCUCAACCUUGGAAUUGCAUUUUUAACUGCAGAGUUAGAGUAUGUCAGAGGGGGUUAGAGUUCCACGUGUAGCAGUGAAAUGCGUAGAUAUGUGGAGGAAUACCGAUGGCGAAGGCAGCCCCCUGGGAUAAUACUGACGCUCAGACACGAAAGCGUGGGGAGCAAACA